Molecule: microRNA precursor, 79 nt
Filed under: Myotis brandtii (Brandt's bat)
Lineage: Eukaryota; Metazoa; Chordata; Mammalia; Chiroptera; Vespertilionidae
Description: mir-9198 microRNA precursor family
Rfam family: mir-9198 microRNA precursor family
Source: Rfam by way of RNAcentral
GCUGCCGCUUGCACCUGCUGCUGGCACCCAGUGCUGGUCCUGAUCACUUGGCGCUGUCAGCGGGUGUGAGCAGUGGCUG